This 73-nucleotide transfer RNA is filed under the name Spirochaetia bacterium. Its description in RNAcentral is "tRNA-Arg". It matches the Rfam family "tRNA". Rfam says of the family: Transfer RNA (tRNA) molecules are approximately 80 nucleotides in length. Their secondary structure includes four short double-helical elements and three loops (D, anti-codon, and T loops). Further hydrogen bonds mediate the characteristic L-shaped molecular structure. tRNAs have two regions of fundamental functional importance: the anti-codon, which is responsible for specific mRNA codon recognition, and the 3' end, to which the tRNAs corresponding amino acid is attached (by aminoacyl-tRNA synthetases). tRNAs cope with the degeneracy of the genetic code in two manners: having more than one tRNA (with a specific anti-codon) for a particular amino acid; and 'wobble' base-pairing, i.e. permitting non-standard base-pairing at the 3rd anti-codon position. Lineage: Bacteria; Pseudomonadati; Spirochaetota; Spirochaetia. The record is from RNAcentral.
GGUCCAGUAGCUCAGAGGAUAGAGCGGCCGCCUCCUAAGCGGCAGGUCGGUGGUUCGAUUCCACUCUGGAUCA